GGCCCCGUGGCGCAAUGGCAGCGCGUCUGACUCCAGAUCAGAAGGCUGGGUGUUCGAGUCACUCCGGGGUCA
Molecule: transfer RNA, 72 nt
Filed under: Penaeus monodon (black tiger shrimp)
Lineage: Eukaryota; Metazoa; Arthropoda; Malacostraca; Decapoda; Penaeidae
Also listed under: 2 other names
Description: tRNA-Trp
Rfam family: tRNA
About the family: Transfer RNA (tRNA) molecules are approximately 80 nucleotides in length. Their secondary structure includes four short double-helical elements and three loops (D, anti-codon, and T loops).
Source: RNAcentral